This is a long non-coding RNA of Oncorhynchus tshawytscha (Chinook salmon), 797 nucleotides long. RefSeq lists it as uncharacterized. The record is from RefSeq and is a predicted model, not a curated record. NCBI's taxonomy places the organism in Eukaryota, Metazoa, Chordata, Actinopteri, Salmoniformes, Salmonidae. The transcript is spliced from 3 exons.
UUAAUGGGCUUUCCCAGAGGGUCCUUGCUUUUCGGGAUCCUUGGGAUGUCCCUACCUCAAUUAAGUAUAAAUGUAAAAUGGUUAAGUUUAGUGUUAUAGUUUAGGGUUUAGGGUAGAGACUUCCCAAUGAAUCCAGAUAGCAGUGACCGUUCAUAGAGUGAGAGACGGGCACGGUAUUUGAGAGCUCGGCGGGGACCCCGACAUUCAUUCGUUAUUUUUGUUUUUUAAACGGCAGACGCGAUUUUCAAGAGUGACUGCCCCAGAUCAUUUCAUUGGAGAGGAUGAAAAGAACUACCAAGACGUCCUUGAUCUGAUUGAGGGGGUGAGACUGAACAUGGACAAUGCGCAGGAGAAAAGGAAAGACUGCCACCGGAGGAGAAUGAAGGGGACCAAGUGCUUCGACAUCCGGGCGAAUGACUUGGCUUGGAAGAAGGACGAAAGGAACGCAAGACCUGGGAAACCUUGCUGCUCUUUCGCUCCUAGCUGGGGUCCCCGUUCGUUAAGGUUGGUGUUUCCACUCACUACAAAGCGACGAGAAGAAGCCCCGUGGCCGGGAGUGGGAGAAGAUGGAGCAAGAUUGACAUUCUGCUAAUUUUCUCAUUGAUGAACCAUUUGAUCUCCAUAGUUUUCUGUGUCCAAAACUAAAAUCUGUAACAAAAGGAGUGGACUGUGUUUUGUAGAAUUUACCCUUUGCCAAAGUUUCUUCCAAAAAUGUUGUUGUUUAGAAGUAGUGCAUAUUUCCGUUAGUUCCCUAAUGGAAAUAUGCAAAUAAAUAAAUGCUAGAAUGUGCCAAUAGG